CUCUGAUUAACGCUCAGAGGCGGUGCGUGUACCUGUUACUGGACAUAUGCUUGUCGUUACAGCCAUCUGCUGCACUGGCACCUGGCCCGCUCCCACGCGCUCGUGCCAAACCCGCACUCGGGAGGCCCAGACCUAAGGGCGGAGAAGUCACAGACUUUACAGAAACCCAUUCAGGAGGCGGACAGGGAUCCUCAGCAGGCCCCAUGCCCGCAGAUGUGACAGCAGUCUGUUGGCCUUCAAAUGGCCGCAGGACAGGCAGUUUACUAGAGAAAGGAGCUUUUCCCUUUGGUCCAACAUGCUUAUUUAGCAUGUUAUAUUUGCUCCUCAAGGCUGCGGAACUUCUUUCUAUCAUUCUCCACCCUGGGGAAGACAUUCCUGCUAAUAUCCUAGUGACAUGAUGCUAGACUCUGAGCUCCUCACUUCGGGAGAAGUGGGGACUCUGCACUCUGAAGAACCCUCUGGAUUCUGUCUCGAGGAACUUGGGCAAAUUUACCAGAUGCUUCUUUUGGGGGAUAUUUCAAGGGUCCCACUUGCUGCACUCCAGCACCUUCUUCCCUGAGAUGUCAGCCCAACCUCAGAACAGGCCCUCACCUGGAAUCCUGGAUCUGGGCCCUCAUGGGGUGCAAAUAAACUAUUAUCUUGUGUUUUGAGAAUCUUAACUCCAGCCUAUAGGCUGACUGAGUGCCAGAGAUCUGUUUGCCAUUUCGUGUUUUUCCUGGGUGACCUGGCAGUCCCACUACUGGCUACUCCUUGUCAAGUGAGGAUUCCAGUGGAGGACACAAUCACCAAGAAGACCUUCCAGAAUCUUCCUGAUGCCUACAAAUGAUUCAACUCUCUUGUCACAAUUGAUGUUCUUCCAUGUAGAAGUGAUAAAGAAAAUGUGUGGUUUCUCAUACAUUGAUUUUUCUCCAGAAAUUUAUUGGUCACAUAAAAUUAAGCAAAAGAUGCUACCUUUUACAAUUCUUUUAAAUAUCUUUGUGAAAUCUUCCUCUUUAAAAAAAAAAUGGGAACAUCUUAGUGCUAAGGCAUUCUGCAAGUUGCCAGAUACCAAUUCCCGUUUCAGUGUGACAAUGUGCAGAGAUUUAAACAGGGCAAUUGUCUUCCCGAGGCGGUCUUUUUCCACAUAGAGCAAAAAGCUUGGGAAUAUCAGAAAAUUAGGCAUCUUCUCAUUUUCUGAUCUAGAAGGGCUGAUCCAGUUUCAUUUAUAGCAACCUGAGUUGGAUCAGCUGCUGUGUAAACAGAGUGCUUGAGUGUAGCCUGGUGGCUACUGCAUAAUCAAAACCACUGGAACCCAAGCAACACACAAAGAUACUGUUUUUGCGCUGUUGCACAAUUUGAAUUCAUUGCAGUGACCAUAAAAUUGGCUAUGAAGCUCCCGACAUAAAGACACCUGGGUGGGUAAAGGGUGUGGACACAGCCAGAACCAAACUCUUGUUUUUGCACAACUCAACUUAGCUUAUUUCUCCUGAAGAAUAGUUCAUUUGGACAAAUGAUGUCCCCAGUGUGCAAAACCCGAAUUUGCAAAUGCACUGAAGCUAGUGAAAAAUGAACGAUCGGAGGAGAAAAAAAGUCUAAGUCAAUUCAACAAAGUCAAGAGGUGAGAAAAAGGAAUGGCUGGCAAUGCGGAAAAAUAAUGAAAUGGGAGAAAACUGUGGGAGCGCAGCCCCCUCUCCAGCCCUGGUCCGAGUGGGUGUCCUUUCUGAAUGCGACAUGUGCCCUGGAAAUAUGAGGAUAAAAUAAGGCAAACUGUACCCCGUGUUGCCUCUGCUCCUGAACAGCACAGACUUUUUGUUUAUGAUGGAAAUCAGCAUGUGAAAAGAAAUCAAUCUGUCAAUAUGUUCUUGUUUUUCUCAACCAGCAAGGAGCUCAGCUUAUUUUGAAAAGCCAAAAGGAACAUGGGCUGCCUCUUAUAAUUAAGUCCCCCCAGGAAGCUUAGCCUUUGGAAGUCACACUUUCUUGAGGGACAAUCACAGCGACUUGGCUUGUCUGACCUUGCAGGGGCGUGAAAGCAAGCCCUGUGUGAUGAGAUGCACUUCCCGCGGUGCCUUGGAAGCUGUGGGGAGCGGGUAGGGCAGGGGGAUCCACAGGGGCUGCCGAGGUUGGGAGGAACAGAAAUCUCUGCCGAAUAGGGGAUACCGUCUGCAGUAAGAGCCGCAGGCCAGCAGAAGUCAGGACACCUUCUUCAACUGGCUUUCAAGGAUCACCAGGACUGACCCCCGCCCCCCAUCAGCCCAGCUUACCUAGACAAAUACACUAUUCAGCAGUUACCAAGUCCCCUGAGAGUUUGGGGAGCAGAGACAUAACAGGGUACUCUAACUCCCACACCAUGGCUUUAUUAAAAGAAAAAUGUAGCCUUCUGCCUACAAUUCCCUCUCCCUGAGCCCCGUCCCUCCCUGGCCUUCUCAUCUUGAAGGAAGGAAAAAUAAAUUUCUAUCAAUCUUAGGAUAUUCUUGCCAGACUUACCCGAUUCAAUUGUUCACAGCUCUUGGAUCUGUAUAAAGACAAACAUAAAAAGCAAAGCCCCAAACCUCUAGCAAUUUGAAAUACACAGUUAAAUGAGUGACAAUAUUUAUCUUUUGGAAAAGACCUUUAAAUAAAGACUCAGAGGAAAAACAAAAGAGAAAUAAUCAUUUGGUAUAUUUCCUCAACAUAUUGGUUUUUUAAUUGUCAGUGUAUGCAUUCCAGCUUCCGCCAAGAAAUCUGCAUCCAUGCUUAUUACUAAAGACUGAGCAUCACCGGCAAAUUCUGUUACUAUGGCAAACGCUUUUAUCAGAAGAGUAAUGUAAAUGAGAAGAACUCACAAAAUGUACGGCUAAGGCACGAAGACAGGAAGGUGUUCUUUGCUCUUGGGCUUUCUCAUUUUAAAGGAAAUGGUGACAAUUAAAUCAAAUAUUUGGCAAUUACUUGCUAGGUAAACAACCCUAUUUUGAGAGCCAUGGGAGAUAAAAUGGCAAAUGUGAGGUCAGUUUCCUGGUCUCAAGGACCUUUCUUUCUAAUUGGGGAAUGAAGACAUAAUCAUAGGAGAAGUUAAAGGUAAGCUCAG
Long non-coding RNA from Canis lupus familiaris (dog), 3043 nucleotides. RefSeq lists it as uncharacterized. The transcript has 4 exons. The record is from RefSeq and is a predicted model, not a curated record. NCBI's taxonomy places the organism in Eukaryota, Metazoa, Chordata, Mammalia, Carnivora, Canidae.